ACGCUGGCGGCAGGCCUAACACAUGCAAGUCGAGCGGUAGCACGGGAGAGCUUGCUCUCUGGGUGACGAGCGGCGGACGGGUGAGUAAUGUCUGGGAAACUGCCUGAUGGAGGGGGAUAACUACUGGAAACGGUAGCUAAUACCGCAUGACCUCGCAAGAGCAAAGUGGGGGACCUUCGGGCCUCACGCCAUCGGAUGUGCCCAGAUGGGAUUAGCUAGUAGGUGGGGUAAUGGCUCACCUAGGCGACGAUCCCUAGCUGGUCUGAGAGGAUGACCAGCCACACUGGAACUGAGACACGGUCCAGACUCCUACGGGAGGCAGCAGUGGGGAAUAUUGCACAAUGGGCACAAGCCUGAUGCAGCCAUGCCGCGUGUGUGAAGAAGGCCUUAGGGUUGUAAAGCACUUUCAGCGAGGAGGAAGGCGCUGUAGUUAAUAGCUGCAGCGAUUGACGUUACUCGCAGAAGAAGCACCGGCUAACUCCGUGCCAGCAGCCGCGGUAAUACGGAGGGUGCAAGCGUUAAUCGGAAUUACUGGGCGUAAAGCGCACGCAGGCGGUUUGUUAAGUCAGAUGUGAAAUCCCCGAGCUUAACUUGGGAACUGCAUUUGAAACUGGCAAGCUAGAGUCUUGUAGAGGGGGGUAGAAUUCCAGGUGUAGCGGUGAAAUGCGUAGAGAUCUGGAGGAAUACCGGUGGCGAAGGCGGCCCCCUGGACAAAGACUGACGCUCAGGUGCGAAAGCGUGGGGAGCAAAC
RNAcentral lists this ribosomal RNA (751 nucleotides) under uncultured bacterium. RNAcentral describes it as "bacterial SSU rRNA". It matches the Rfam family "Bacterial small subunit ribosomal RNA", at positions 33 to 773 of the family's 1533-position model. The record is from RNAcentral.